RNAcentral lists this non-coding RNA (21 nucleotides) under Arabidopsis thaliana (thale cress). The record is from RNAcentral. Lineage: Eukaryota; Viridiplantae; Streptophyta; Magnoliopsida; Brassicales; Brassicaceae.
CGGUAGCUGCUGAAUCUUCUA